RNAcentral lists this ribosomal RNA (380 nucleotides) under uncultured eukaryote. Its description in RNAcentral is "partial 18S ribosomal RNA". It matches the Rfam family "Eukaryotic small subunit ribosomal RNA", at positions 592 to 976 of the family's 1831-position model. The record is from RNAcentral.
CAAUAGCGUAUAUUAAAGUUGUUGCAGUUAAAAAGCUCGUAGUUGAACCUUGGGCCUGGCUGGCCGGUCUGCCUCACCGCAUGCACUGGUCCGGCCGGGCCUUUCCCUCUGGGGAUCCGCAUGCCCUUCACUGGGUGUGUCGGGGAACCAGGACUUUUACUGUGAAAAAAUUAGAGUGUUCAAAGCAGGCCUAUGCUCGAAUACAUUAGCAUGGAAUAAUAGAAUAGGACGUUGCGGUUCUAUUUUGUUGGUUUCUAGGACCGCCGUAAUGAUUAAUAGGGACAGUCGGGGGCGUCAGUAUUCAAUCGUCAGAGGUGAAAUUCUUGGAUCGAUUGAAGACUAACUACUGCGAAAGCAUUCGCCAAGGAUGUUUUCAUUAA